Molecule: transfer RNA, 72 nt
Filed under: Planctomycetes bacterium RBG_16_43_13
Lineage: Bacteria; Pseudomonadati; Planctomycetota
Description: tRNA-Phe
Rfam family: tRNA
About the family: Transfer RNA (tRNA) molecules are approximately 80 nucleotides in length. Their secondary structure includes four short double-helical elements and three loops (D, anti-codon, and T loops).
Source: RNAcentral
GGGCAGGUAGCUCAGCGGUAGAGCUCUGGACUGAAAAUCCAGGAGUCGCCGGUUCGAUCCCGGCCCUGCCCA